RNAcentral lists this transfer RNA (68 nucleotides) under Rivularia auriculata. Its description in RNAcentral is "tRNA-Glu". Lineage: Eukaryota; Metazoa; Mollusca; Gastropoda; Architaenioglossa; Viviparidae. The record is from RNAcentral.
GUUUUUAUAGUGUCUUAUUGCACAUUAAGUUUUCAUCUUAAAAGUAUAAAUUAAAUUUAUUAAAAAUA